Molecule: ribosomal RNA, 250 nt
Filed under: uncultured bacterium
Lineage: Bacteria
Description: partial 16S ribosomal RNA
Rfam family: Bacterial small subunit ribosomal RNA
Source: RNAcentral
UACGGAGGGUGCGAGCGUUGUCCGGAAUCACUGGGCGUAAAGGGCGCGUAGGCGGCGCGGGUAGUCAUCGGUGAAAGUUCAGGGCUCAACUCUGAAUCGGCCGGUGAUACUCCCGUGCUCGAGCACUGUAGAGGCAGGUGGAAUUCCGGGUGUAGCGGUGGGAAUGCGUAGAGAUCCGGAAGAACACCGGUGGCGAAGGCGGCCUUCUGGGACCAGCACUCGACACUCAAGCACGAAAGCGUGGGGAAGC